Molecule: ribosomal RNA, 440 nt
Filed under: uncultured bacterium
Lineage: Bacteria
Description: partial 16S ribosomal RNA
Rfam family: Bacterial small subunit ribosomal RNA
Source: RNAcentral
CCUACGGGGUGCAGCAGUAGGGAAUAUUGCUCAAUGGGGGAAACCCUGAAGCAGCAACGCCGCGUGGAGGAUGAAGGUUUUCGGAUUGUAAACUCCUUUUGUUAGAGAAGAUAAUGACGGUAUCUAACGAAUAAGCACCGGCUAACUCCGUGCCAGCAGCCGCGGUAAUACGGAGGGUGCAAGCGUUACUCGGAAUCACUGGGCGUAAAGAGCGCGUAGGCGGGAUAGCAAGUCAGAUGUGAAAUCCUAUGGCUUAACCAUAGAACUGCAUUUGAAACUGUUAUUCUAGAGUAUGGGAGAGGUAGGUGGAAUUCUUGGUGUAGGGGUAAAAUCCGUAGAGAUCAAGAGGAAUACUCAUUGCGAAGGCGACCUGCUGGAACAUUACUGACGCUGAUGCACGAAAGCGUGGGGAGCAAACAGGAUUAGAUACCCUAGUAGUC